UACGGGGGGGGCAAGCGUUGUUCGGAAUUACUGGGCGUAAAGGGGACGUAGGCGGCCAACUAAGUCCGACGUGAAAUCCCAAGGCUUAACCUUGGAACUGCGUCGGAUACUGGAUGGCUUGAAUUCGGGAGAGGGAUGCAGAAUUCCAGGUGUAGCGGUGAAAUGCGUAGAUAUCUGGAGGAAUACCGGUGGCGAAGGCGGCAUCCUGGACCGACAUUGACGCUGAGGAGCGAAAGCGUGGGGAGCGAACAGG
RNAcentral lists this ribosomal RNA (253 nucleotides) under uncultured bacterium. RNAcentral's name for it is "partial 16S ribosomal RNA". It matches the Rfam family "Bacterial small subunit ribosomal RNA", at positions 524 to 776 of the family's 1533-position model. The record is from RNAcentral.